UCAAGACAACUUUGCUUCUUUUAAUAUAGGCAGGGAAGUCAAAAGAUUGGAUAUCCCUGCUUUAUACCAAGAAAGACAGCACCCCACAUUUGCAAUGCCUAAAAACACUACCAGCCAUCUGAAAAACAUGAGACUUCUAACUUCUGUUCUUUUUUGUAGCAGUGGAAUCCCACGGUGAUAUCUGAGGGAUGUGGUUACCUUUUGGAGGAGGUUGACGGUUUCUAAGGAUGAUUCUUUCUGAGUGAAAUAUUGUCGGUGUCAUUGACCUUUUCAUUAUUUCAACUAUUAUUAUUCCAGGUUAUCAAUACUCUGGCUGUCUAUCGUCAUCGUGAGACUGACUUUUGUGGAGGAGUUCGAGACCACCCUGGCCAACAUGGCAAAACCCCAUCUCCACAAAAAUUGGAUAAUUUGAUAAUUAUCAUUAUUGAGUUUCUGAGACCUUACACAUUUACCAUUCUCUUCUGCACAAAUUACCUUUGUUUGUCUUUCCUGAAGACUAUCUUCCAGUCUGAAAAUGGACAUGAUGGAUCCACAGAUGUACAGCAGAGAGCCUGGAGGUCCAACCGACGUAGACAGGAAGGGCUGAGGUCCAUUUGUAUGCACACAAAGAAAAGAGUUUCUUCCUUUCCAGGAAAUAAAAUUGGCCUGAAAGACGUCAUUACUCUACGGAGACAUGUGAAAG
RNAcentral lists this small RNA (682 nucleotides) under Pan troglodytes (chimpanzee). Its description in RNAcentral is "retained intron". Lineage: Eukaryota; Metazoa; Chordata; Mammalia; Primates; Hominidae. The record is from RNAcentral.